This 8854-nucleotide long non-coding RNA is filed under the name Ananas comosus (pineapple). RNAcentral's name for it is "long non-coding RNA (ACOM_LNC038366)". The record is from RNAcentral. Lineage: Eukaryota; Viridiplantae; Streptophyta; Magnoliopsida; Poales; Bromeliaceae.
UCUGGUGUCAGCUAGCUACACUGCGGGGCUCUUGCCACGAUCUUCGGCCACACCGCUCGCACUGGAACCUGUAUGGUUAGUGGUGUGAGAACUACAGAAAAGUUCCCAGUGGGUUCGGCCGCCGACCCCGCCGACUCACCCACUAGAUCUAUUCAGGCAUAUGUAGGCAAAAGAAGUAAACAGAUAGUAACCAACUAUAAUAUGUAACUACUACAACGCCUGUACAAAGCGGAAAGAAAGCAAUGUAGGAAAACUGUAAAUAUGCAUGCAUAUUGUAAUAUACCACUGCCCAAUCAAUCUAGCUAACCAUUUGGUUAACUGCAACUUACAACUCAAUCCCUGGCGGGCCCUAAGCUGCCUCCCGACGGGAUCGUCUGCUGGACAGAUACUUUAGUCCAUGGGCAAAUACUUUAGCCCAUCGUGUGACAACUCCGGAGUGCACUGCUCGGGUGGAGCGACCACCGCCGAGCUCAAAACAGACUAUGUGAGUAUGAUCUCAUCCCCCUUUAGAGGAUUCCACUGAGAGACAAUGUCACAUUUUAACUCUAACUAGCUCUUUAUGCUAGUUUCAUAAAUUCAUUUCUCGAUGCUAACCAAAUCUCUAGUUAGAACGUCACCAAGUUCACUAUUGUUAUAGUCCAUGCAUUCAUAGGGUUCUAUGUCCACAUACUAAGGUUCACAAGUUCUCACUAUUGAUAGUAAUUCACCUUUUCACUUGCACAAUGCCAAACACCCUAUAAUGCAUGACUACAAAUAUAAAUAUGCUCAAUGAAUAAUCAUAGACAUAAAAGGUGAUUCAAAGAUUUCGGAUAGCACCACCCACCUGUAGUGGUGUCAACAACUAGAAUCCACGUCUCGAAGUGUGUCGACAAUUAGCUCUCGCGACUCGGUGUAAAUAGAACUAGAACGGUCUCUACCGUAAUUAGCGCGUCGUCGACCUGUCGGAAUGUCAAUUUAGAUCUUCGAGUACGUUUAACUUUCAUUUGUAUAAGAAUAAAAGAGAUUACACUAGAGUCACAUUUACAUAUUUUGCAAGUUUGCAUUUCCACUCCAACUUGCAUGUAUAUAUAUAUAUAUAUAUAUAUAUAUACACAUAGUGUUAACAUACACCCAUACAUAUAUCCUGCUAUUCAUUCCUUAUGGUAGUAUAGGAGUCCAGCAGCCACAAUUAUUUACCAUUAUCUCUCUUUAGGUGAUAAAUAUUAAUUCUGAUACUUAAUAUUACAUUCUAACUUUAGCUCAUGUAUAUAUGUAUCACUACAUACAUACUAUAUAUAUAUAUAUAUAGUGGAAGCUAGUUUCAUAGAAUUCCAAUUAGGAGUUCCAUCAAUGCAGUUUUGCUUUUCUAUAGGCUCAAACACUCAUAGAACUCCUAAUUAACAACUUUCUAUUACCAUUAACUGAAUUUCAAUUAAGAUUCAAUCUAAAAUUAUUUCAGAUUUCAUUCUUGAUAAACUUUACAUACACUUAGCUAUAUACAUGUAUAUAUUGCUUUUAACAGGAUUCUAGGACUUUUACAUUUUACUGUAAGCUUCUAAUCCUAAAAAAAAUCUCUCAUAAAGUAGUUAAAUGGACCACUUAGAAGCUUCUCUUAUGCAAUUAUAUUAAUCCUAGCUUAACUUCCUUAGGUAGCUACUAGCAUCAAUUCCAUUUAGCAAUUCUAUUGCUCAUACUACUGGUGGAGCAAUCUUGGUAAUUUUAAACAGGGAAAAAUCAACUUAUUCCUAAUUGCACUUCCACUAAUACAUAGUUCAUAAUUAUCAAACUUAUUUUGGGGUUUAAUUAGCUCAAUAGCCAUAUUCCUUCAAAUUAGCCUCUUUAUAAGGUAAGUAAUUGAUCCAUAAUCAGAACUUGAGUAAUUACUUUACCUCAAAGCAGCAACUUCAGCAAUACUUAAUUAAGGCACCAACAUAGCAGCUCCAAACUUCCUUAAUUAAGGCAUCAACAUCGCAGCUCCAAUCUUCCUUAAUUAAGGCAUCAACAUCGCAGCUCCAAUCUUCCUUAAUUAAGGCAUCAACAUAGCAGCUCCAAACUUCCUUAAUUAAGGCAUCUAAUAUUAUUCAGAUCAGCGAAGGCUCAUCUGUUUACUUAAUUGGAAGUUUUCACCAAGCUUCUCCUUCAAUCCGAGACACUAAAGAAGCUCCAUCAGCUCUCUUCAAUUUUGGCACCCACAACACCCUCCAUGUUUGCCAGCAGGAAAUUCACAUAUAUAGCAUCUCUAAAGUAAAUAGUUUAGCUGAAAAAUCAAAUACUAACUCCCACUUACCUUACUUUAGGUGCUCUACCAUUUUACUUUCAGCUCUACAGGCCCAACCACCAUGCUCAGCAGUUCUUCUCCAGAUCAAAGCUGUCAAUAUCCCUAAUCUGCCCAUUAAUUUACCAAGUUUUUAAAUUCUGGCAGCAGUAAAGUCAUCAUCUAGCUCUUCUCUAAGAUGACUGACUUGGCUCGCAUCAAUUAUUAACUAGGCUUACCUCGAUUAGAUACUCCCUCAAAUUAAUCUCAGCUUCAAAAUCCUUCCUUGCUGCUCCACAGCAAGAACUCAAUUCUCCAAGCUGCCACUUCUUUUUAUCAUCAACUCACCUAGGCUUUUCCUCAGCUCUAACAGCUCGACAGCACCACCAAUCCCCUCGGCUAGAGAGAGAAAGAAGAAAUUAGAUAGAGAGAGUUGAGGAAACAGUAAUCCUUAUCCUCUAACAGGUGCUGGCUACCUGGGUAAAGUGAUAAGAUCAGCAAUUUGUUGUUUAAUCCCUCAAAUCAGCAAUAAUGCAUCACAACCCUGCAGUUACAAUCUAGUCCCUGCAGUCUCGCAAUUUAGUCCCUGCACCAACUAGAACCUGGCAGCAGCAACUUUGAAGCUUAUUUCACGCGUCCGGCUUACUUCGAACACUUAUAAUCACUUCCAAAUUAUGCCGAAUAAUCUCUACAAACGACUAAAUUAAUUUGGAAGCGAUUAAUUCUCAUUUUCGCAUUAUUGUGAUCAAUUUAGUCACAAUUAGCUCAUAACUAACAUUCAAUAUAUUACAAUCUCCCCUCCUUAAAUAGUUUCGUCCUCGAAACUUAAAUUUAUACCUUAAUUCUCCUGGUUGAAUAGGUGAGGAUAGGAUUCACGCAUAGCUUCUUCCAAUUCCCAAGUAGCCUCUCGUCCUGAGUGAUUGCUCCAUUGUACUUUCACAUAGGGAAUAGUGCGAUUUCGCAGCUCUCGCACUUCUCGAUCAAGGAUGCAUACUGGAUACUCUUCAUAAGUCAUAUCCUCUUGUAAAUCUACAGGCUCGUACUCCAUAACAUGCCCUGAAUGAUGCACAUAUUUUCGGAGAUUCGAAACAUGAAAUACAUUGUGAAUCCCUUCAAACUUCGGCGGUAGAGCCAAUCGAUAGGCUACUGCUCCAACUCGCUCUAGGAUCUCGUAAGGUCCAAUAUAUCGAGGACUAAGCUUUCCUCGAACACCAAAUCUCUUUAUCCCGCGCAUUGGCGAUACCUUCAAGAAUACCCGAUCACCAACCACAAACUCCAAGUUCUUUCGGCGCUUAUUUGCAUAACUCUGCUGUCGUGACUGAGCAGUCAAUAAUCUCUGGCGGACUAGGUGUACCUUUUCCUCCGCCUCCUGGAGUACAUCAGGACCAAGAACCAUUCUUUCUCCUACUUCACUCCAAGGGAUAGGGGAUCGACACUUUCUCCCGUAGAGAGCUUCAAACGGUGCCAUUGCGAUGCUUCCUUGGUAGCUAUUAUUGUAUGCAAACUCAGCCAUCGCCAAUGAAUCAUGCCAACUCCCUCUGAAAUCAAGCACACACGCCCGUAGCAUGUCCUCCAAUAUCUGAAUCGUUCUCUCAGACUGUCCAUCAGUCUGAGGAUGAAAAGCUGUACUAAAAUCAAGACGUGUGCCCAGAGUCUCCUGUAAACUCCUCCAGAAGUGGGAUGUAAACCGCGGGUCUCGAUCAGAUACAAUCGACGUCGGGACUCCGUGUAAUCUCACAACCUCGUCGAGGUACACCUGUGCUAACUUGUCCCCUGACCAAGUAGCAUGAAUCGGCAAGAAAUGCGCCGACUUCGUCAAUCGAUCAACGAUCACCCAAACGGUAUCAUGUCCAGCCUGGGAUCGAGGUAAUCCCACAAUGAAGUCCAUCGCAAUGUUCUCCCACUUCCAGACAGGAAUAGGUAAGCUCUGCAACUUUCCUGCAGGAAAUCUACGCUCAGCCUUCACUUGCUGACAUGUCAAACACUGCGCCACAAACUGUCCAACAUCCUUCUUCAUUCCAGGCCACCAAUAAUGUACUUUAAGAUCCUUGUACAUUUUAGUGCCACCUGGAUGCACACUAUAGGGUGAUUGAUGAGCUUCCUGUAGUAUAACCCGUUGGAUCUCUUCGUCUUUAGGCGCACAUAACCGGUUUCGAAAUCGAAGUGCUCCGUCAGAUCCCACCGUAAAAUCAUCCCCUCGCCCGCUUUCAACUUCACACCGCACUCUUUGGAGAUACAGAUCUAAAGAUUGCCGAUCUUUAAUCCGUUCCAACAAAGUCGGUUGAACAACUAGGGUGGCAAGAAUAGCUGGUACAUCUGGAGCUACUACCUCAAGAUCAAACCGCCGCAUUUCAUUCUGCAACGACGGUUGAUGCGUGAUCAUCAUAGCCAAGUUCUCCACUGACUUCCUACUCAAUGCAUCAGCAACCACAUUCGCCUUUCCUGGGUGGUAUAGAAUAUUAACAUCAUAAUCUUUCAACAAUUCUAACCACCGGCGUUGUCGCAUGUUCAGCUCUUUCUGGGUGAAUAAAUACUUCAGGCUCUUGUGAUCUGUAUAAAUUUCACAAUGCUCGCCAUAAAGGUAAUGUCUCCACAAUUUCAGUGCGAAGAUCACCGCCGCCAAUUCCAAAUCAUGAAUAGGAUAAUUCUUUUCAUAAUUCUUUAACUGGCGAGACGCAUAAGCAAUCACUCGACCACCCUGCAUAAGUACACACCCAAGUCCACUGUAUGAGGCGUCACUGUAGUUCACAAAACUCUCCCCCAAAAUCGGCAAGGCAAGAAUAGGAGUCGAAGUCAACCUUUCUUUCAACUCCCUAAAGCUACGAUCACAUUCAUCGCUCCAAACAUAUUUAGUUCCUUUAUGUGUAUGUUAGUGGAGUAGUAAUCUUCGCAAACCCUUCCACGAACCGUCUAUAGUAUCCCGCGAGUCCAAGGAAACUGCGGAUCUCUAGCACAGUCGUCGGGCGAGGCCAAUCUUUAAUUGCCUCUGCUUUCUUUGGGUCAACAGCUACACCACCCUCAGAAAUCACAUGCCCCAAAAAUGCAACCUCUCGCAGCCAAAAUUCACAUUUCUUCAAUUUGGCAUAUAAUUGUUUCUCCCGAAGAAUUUGCAUCACUGUUCUCAAGUGUUCUUCGUGCUCCUCAUUACUUCGAGAAAAGAUCAGGAUAUCAUCUAUAAAUACCACUACACACUGAUCCAACAGCGGCUUAAAGAUCCUGUUCAUUAGAUCCAUAAAUGCUGCAGGGGCAUUGGUCAGCCCAAACGGCAUCACUGUAAAUUCAUAGUGACCAUAACGAGUGCGAAACGCUGUCUUAUGCACAUCCUCUGGUUUAAUCUUCAAUUGGCGGUAACCUGAUUGAAGAUCAAUCUUCGAAUACACUCGUGAACCUUGCAACUGAUCAAAUAAAUCAUCGAUUCGCGGCAACGGAUAUUUAUUCUUGAUUGUGAUCCUGUUCAGUUCACGAUAAUCAACACACAGUCGAAGCGUUCCGUCUUUUUUCUUUACAAACAAAACAGGAGCUCCCCAGGGUGAUACACUAGGCUUCACAAAGCCUUUAUCCAUCAAAUCCUGCAACUGAGCUUUCAACUCUCUCAACUCAGCAGGUGCCAUUCUGUAUGGAGCCUUCGAAAUUGGCGCCGUUCCGGGAACCAAAUCAAUAACAAACUCAAUUUCCCGAUCCGGCGGCAAUCCCGGUAACUCCGCAGGAAAUACAUCAGGAAACUCUCGAACCACUGGAAUAUCACUCAGUGCUGGAAGUUCCUUUUGAGUCUCCACUACAGUCGCCAAAUAGUACGAUAUGUAAAGAGAUAAACCUGCAACUACUCUAUCAUGCCAGUAAAAAAAAAUGAAGUCAUGUCCAGUGAGUAUAUAAAAGUACAUACAAUGCAAUCUUACAACAUACAACUAUUUCUACUCGAAGUAAUAAUGCAAGUCUACAUAUGCAUCUCAUGUUUAUUACCCAAUCUACUAGCGCCAACCUUGCCUAAGAUCUCAAAUCUCAAAGGUCCUAGACAAAGAGGUCUACCCCGCUCUUUGCUCGACUCAAUCUCGAAGGUCCUAGGCAAAAGCUACCCCGCUCCUCGCCGGACUCAAUCUCGCUCUAUUAGGUAGGCGAGCUGGCUACAUAGUAAUGGAUAUACACAUGCCUACUAUGCCUCUGUAAUCCAUGAAUGCAUGAUGCAUGUAUNNNNNNNNNNNNNNNNNNNNNNNNNAGCCGCAACAUCAACACAUAACUUUCUUGCUCUCGUCGACGAUAACAGUCAGUGCAAAAGCGAUACUCUGCACCCCACGACAUAUACAACUUCUUUGCCCGGUUCAACGAAAAUAAAAUUUUCACUAUUCACAAUUAAUCGUGGCAUAGUACUUGCAAGCCAAUCCAUUCCAAAGGAUAAAACAUCAAAAGCCUUUCAAUACCGGCUUAACAACUACACAAUCUGCUGGCAUAAUCUCCAAUCACCGAAUCUCGUACUGGACAUGCCCGCACACGAACUUCGUGGACACUAAAUGCUCAGGCAUAUACCCACCAGCAUCAGCACUAAUCCGAAAUCUCAAUUCAUGCGGCUUAGCCAAAUGACUACCUGAUGAAGAAUGCGAUGCACCUGUGUCAAAUAACACGAAGAUCAUGCCAUUAAAGUUAAAACAAUACCGCACGAGCCUCAACUACGGCCCUGCCCUCUAUCCUGGCUCAAUACACGAACUCGGUCAGAUCGAGGUGUGUCACGGGUACCGCCGGUGCAGAUCGAAGUGGCUCGUACUGACGCGCAAAAAAGUACGGCCACGACAACAGGCGGUAGACCCAGAAGCUGUCUGGAGGCUGACUGACUGAAGCUGUGCACUGUGCAGUGAUCUUCCCCUCUGGCAAUCCACAAUCAUAUUCCGCUGACCAACUUGAAAACAUUACCUUUCCCGCUGUGACAAGCCAAUCGUCGAUAUUCCGCCGCAUACAAACACAUCUCGGGCUCCUGAUACCCCGACGAGAACGGGUGCCAGAGGGGACGUUCGGAGCAUCCGACGUCCCCACGCAACCACUAGCUCUUUUUCUUUUCCUCUUUACCUCGUUCCCUUUCAACACGAUCGCGUCAUAUCACCGCAAUCUGCAUUCCCGCGCUCACCCAAAGAGCGUCGAUACUAGAAACUUCCUCAAAAGUUUUAACUUUAGAGCAUGACUGUCCUGAAAUAUGUCCGAUCGCGAUCACCCCCGUCAAAACACGCCGCUCGAAUCGCGAUCCCGUAUGACCAUCCAGGCACUACAGUUCACUCAAAAUAAGAAAUUCCCGUUCGACUCGCCGGUACCAACGUUCCCUGUCUCACUUGCGUAAAUUCUCAUUUUUCCUUUAUCACAUGUCGGGAAACGUACUCCAUAAAUAACAUCUCCGAACUCUCCAACGAGCGUGUAGUUUGGUGGCCCAUUCUUCUUCUGCCUUUUCCACCAAAAUUCAGCACUUUCUCAAAGCAGAUGAUGACACGCAAAGGAAACCUAUCCUCUUUCCAAAUGUAAAUAUCCUCAGAAUAAAGCCCCUCCAUCGCUAGUAACCAUGUCUCUCACUACCCACGGAUCUGCUUCUUUCAUCAAAACAAUACGGCGAUUAAACCGCAUAAAUCUCUCUAUAACCUUAUAAAUCGCGCACGCUCAGCUCCAAUUCUCAAUCAAAUAGAGGCGCCAGAAACCCACGAGGGAACAGUUCGCGAACAGGAGCACGAUCGCGCGCCUCAGAUAGAAAAAAAAAAAAAACAGGUAACAUCAAUCACGAUCGCCAGGUACUAGCGUUGUCGCCUGCCCGCGACAUUAAAAAUCCUUAGUAGCUCUUUAAUGCUCUCCUGUCUCGCAUACCCCGCACUAACCGCCACCUGAGCACAAAUACAUCUCAGACAUAGCUACGCACCAUCCGAGAGUGAGCUGAGUAUCACGUCGCCGCGCGCUGGCAUAUUACAUCCUACAACUUAAACAAAACCAAUCAGCGAAAGCAAUCAGCGUACUAUACUCAAACCUUAAGCUUUAUGUUGUGCCACCAACAUAACUCUUUUUAUUCAAUAAAUAACACUUGAUCACCCAAUAAAAUUAGCGACAUUAUUAACAAACUAACCCAAUUGUAGCUCGCCUAUCAUUAAAUUCAGGCCACUCGCAUUCAUGCCUAGUUCCAAUUCUAUAGUCCCUUCCCCUAGACUUAACUAUCACUUCUCGAUACCACUUAUCUGUACUCCCGCUAAAUCAACGGCCAAUAUGUAUCGAAUUACACGGCCAUGCAAGACCAGACGUACCAGAACCCCCGCGCACCAAAGCCACGGCAAUACAUUAUAGAAAAAACAAUUCCGAUGACACAUUUCAUAUACAUGGCUUGCACAGGCAAGCAACAAUCAAAGUAUAGUAACUAGCAUACUGAAAAUUCACUUAAUUUAAACUCUUCAAACUGAACUAUAUAACUAAACACAUUUAGAUAUAUUUACAUCUAUCAACAUACAUCUCAUUUACAUGCCUCACAUGAACUCAAAAUGAGAAACUACUAUACUCUGGUCACUAUAGCUAUAGUCGCGGGCUCUUACACGAUCCUCGCCACACCGCUCCACUGAACCGUAUGAUUUAUGUAUUGAGAAAACUACUGAAAAGUUCCCAGUGGGUUCG